GACGAACGCUGGCGGCGUGCUUAACACAUGCAAGUCGAACGGAAAGGCCCUGCUUUUGUGGGGUGCUCGAGUGGCGAACGGUGAGUAACACGUGAGUAACCUGCCCUUGACCUUGGGAUAACUUCAGGAAACCGGGGCUAAUACCGGAUAGGAGCCCCUGCUGCCUGGUGGGGGUUGGAAAGUUUCGGCGGUUGGGGAUGGAAUCGCGGCUUAUCAGCUUGUUGGUGGGGUAGUGGCUUACCAAGGCUUUGACGGGUAGCCGGCCUGAGAGGGUGACCGGCCACAUUGGGACUGAGAUACGGCCCAGACUCCUACGGGAGGCAGCAGUGGGGAAUAUUGCACAAUGGGCGGAAGCCUGAUGCAGCAACGCCGCGUGCGGGAUGACGGCCUUCGGGUUGUAAACCGCUUUCGCCUGUGACGAAGCGUGAGUGACGGUAAUGGGUAAAGAAGCACCGGCUAACUACGUG
Molecule: ribosomal RNA, 467 nt
Filed under: uncultured bacterium
Lineage: Bacteria
Description: partial 16S ribosomal RNA
Rfam family: Bacterial small subunit ribosomal RNA
Source: RNAcentral